AAGUCUGGUUGUGGUGGCCUCCCUAUUCCAAUUGAUCCAUUCGUGCGACAAUAUUUCCUAGUUGAAAGCUUAGUUGGGUGAAAACGUUUGUGAUUCUUUCCUUGAUGUUGACAGGUCUGCUAUUGGUGCUGUGAUGAAAAAUGGUGAAGUACCUAUAAGAAAAGGUUAGUGAAGGUAAAUAAAUUUUGUUGUAAGCAUGGACAUGGAUCAUAAAGAGAAGGUCUCAUCCAAUGAA
Molecule: long non-coding RNA, 235 nt
Filed under: Carica papaya (papaya)
Lineage: Eukaryota; Viridiplantae; Streptophyta; Magnoliopsida; Brassicales; Caricaceae
Description: long non-coding RNA (CPAP_LNC012426)
Source: RNAcentral